This 514-nucleotide ribosomal RNA is filed under the name uncultured bacterium. RNAcentral's name for it is "partial 16S ribosomal RNA". It matches the Rfam family "Bacterial small subunit ribosomal RNA", at positions 355 to 860 of the family's 1533-position model. The record is from RNAcentral.
UGGGGAAUUUUGGACAAUGGGGGAAACCCUGAUCCAGCCAUCCCGCGUGUGCGAUGAAGGCCUUCGGGUUGUAAAGCACUUUUGGCAGGAAAGAAACGUCGCGGGUUAAUACCCCGCGAAACUGACGGUACCUGCAGAAUAAGCACCGGCUAACUACGUGCCAGCAGCCGCGGUAAUACGUAGGGUGCAAGCGUUAAUCGGAAUUACUGGGCGUAAAGCGUGCGCAGGCGGUUCGGAAAGAAAGAUGUGAAAUCCCAGAGCUUAACUUUGGAACUGCAUUUUUUAACUACCGGGCUAGAGUGUGUCAGAGGGAGGUGGAAUUCCGCGUGUAGCAGUGAAAUGCGUAGAUAUGCGGAGGAACACCGAUGGCGAAGGCAGCCUCCUGGGAUAACACUGACGCUCAUGCACGAAAGCGUGGGGAGCAAACAGGAUUAGAUACCCUGGUAGUCCACGCCCUAAAACGAUGUCAACUAGCUGUUGGGGCCUUCGGGCCUUGGUAGCGCAGCUAACGCGU